RNAcentral lists this small RNA (908 nucleotides) under Vigna angularis var. angularis. RNAcentral describes it as "Non-protein coding transcript". Lineage: Eukaryota; Viridiplantae; Streptophyta; Magnoliopsida; Fabales; Fabaceae. The record is from RNAcentral.
CACUUUCAGUGUAGAGAGUAGGCUUCAUAUAAGAGAGUUUGAUGAAGGUAGAGAUGUUAAGGUGGUGGGGAAGCUUGAGAGGAAGUGUGAGAUUGGGACUAAAAAGGGGGUCUCCAUUUUCACCAACAUGAUGGGUGACCCUUUAUCUAGGAUUAGGUUAUAUCCCCUUCAUGUUAUGUUGGUGGCUGAGCUGCUUGAAAGCAAGGAGCUUGUGGGUGUGGUUCGAGGGUGCAUUAAGAGUAUGAGAACUCCUUCUGAAUCAUUGCUGAAGAUUGGUUGCAUACUAGGCCUUAGAGUCUCUCCUUCACACAGGAGAAAGGGGAUUGGACUGAAACUUGUCACCUCAGUUGAAGAAUGGAUGCUGAGAAAUGGGGCUGAAUAUGCAUUCCUGGCAACUGAAAAGAACAACGAUGCCUCUAGAAACCUAUUUACCAACAAAUGCAAAUAUGUGAGCCUCAGCUCACUUUUCAUAUUUGUGCAUCCAAUUAGUUUCCCUGCAAAGCAGAUUUCCAAGGAUAUAGAAAUUGAGAAGGUAAACAUAGACCAGGCAAUUUCGUUAUACAGAAGAACCCUGAUGGCCAAAGAGCUUUACCCAUUAGACAUGGAUAGUAUUUUGAAGGAGAAUCUCAGCUUGGGCACCUGGGUGAGUUAUUACAAAGAGGGAGGCUUACUCAACUUGCAGAGAAAGGAAGAGAGUGAAGACAUUAUUACCAAUGAAAUCACAAGCUCAUGGAUCAUCUUUAGCAUAUGGAAUACUUGUGAGGCUUACAAGCUUCAACUUAAAAAGUCUCAGCCACUUAGGUUUCUUCACACAGCUUUAAAUCAUGCAAGAGACAAAAUCUUCCCUUGUCUGAGAAUGUCGGUGAGUGACUCACUGUGCAGGCCCUUUGGGUUUCUCUUCCUCUAUG